ACGGGAGGCAGCAGUGGGGAAUAUUGGUCAAUGGGCGAAAGCCUGACCCAGCAACGCCGCGUGAAGGAAGAAGGUCUUCGGAUUGUAAACUUCUUUUAUCAGGGACGAAGGAAGUGACGGUACCUGAUGAAUAAGCCACGGCUAACUACGUGCCAGCAGCCGCUGCAAUACGUAGGUGGCGAGCGUUAUCCGGAUUUACUGGGUGUAAAGGGCGCGUAGGCGGGGAUGCAAGUCAGAUGUGAAAUCUAUGGGCUUAACUCAUAAACUGCAUUUGAAACUGUAUCUCUUGAGUGUCGGAGAGGUAGGUGGAAUUCCUAGUGUAGCGGUGAAAUGCGUAGAUAUUAGGAGGAACACCAAUUGCGAAGGCGAUCUACUGGACGAUAACUGACGCUUAGGCGCGAAAGCGUGGUGAGCAAACAGGAUUAGAUACCCUGGUA
This 437-nucleotide ribosomal RNA is filed under the name uncultured Oscillibacter sp. RNAcentral's name for it is "partial 16S ribosomal RNA". It matches the Rfam family "Bacterial small subunit ribosomal RNA", at positions 341 to 792 of the family's 1533-position model. The record is from RNAcentral. Lineage: Bacteria; Bacillati; Bacillota; Clostridia; Eubacteriales; Oscillospiraceae.